Molecule: long non-coding RNA, 376 nt
Filed under: Coturnix japonica (Japanese quail)
Lineage: Eukaryota; Metazoa; Chordata; Aves; Galliformes; Phasianidae
Description: lncRNA (ENSCJPG00005002198.1)
Source: RNAcentral
UGAUACCGGAUGUUCGGCAGUUAUGGGGACAGCUUCUGACCCACAAGAUGGGAGAGUUAAUGGUGGGAGUUAUGGGGUUAUGGGGCAGCUCUGACCCACAAGUGGGGAGUUAUGGGGCAGCUCUGACCCACAAGUGGGGAGUUAUGGGGGAUAGUCUAUGGUGGUUUAUGGUGCAGCUCUGACCGCAGCAGGUGGGGAUGGUCUCACUGAGAAGAAUUAUGGGGCUAGCUCUUAUGACCACACAUCAGUGGGGAGUUAUGGGCGUUUAUGGCGGCAGCUUUCUGACCCACCAAGUGGGAGUUAUGGGAGUGGGAUGGGGAGUUUAUGGGGCAGCUCUGACCCACAAGUGGGGAGUUAUGGGGUUAUGGGGCAGCUC